Molecule: ribosomal RNA, 762 nt
Filed under: uncultured bacterium
Lineage: Bacteria
Description: bacterial SSU rRNA
Rfam family: Bacterial small subunit ribosomal RNA
Source: RNAcentral
AACAGGAUUAGAUACCCUGGUAGUCCACGCCGUAAACGAUGUCGACUUGGAGGCUGUUCCCUUGAGGAGUGGCUUCCGGAGCUAACGCGUUAAGUCGACCGCCUGGGGAGUACGGCCGCAAGGUUAAAACUCAAAUGAAUUGACGGGGGCCCGCACAAGCGGUGGAGCAUGUGGUUUAAUUCGAUGCAACGCGAAGAACCUUACCUACUCUUGACAUCCAGAGAAUUUAGCAGAGAUGCUUUAGUGCCUUCGGGAGCUCUGAGACAGGUGCUGCAUGGCUGUCGUCAGCUCGUGUUGUGAAAUGUUGGGUUAAGUCCCGCAACGAGCGCAACCCUUAUCCUUUGUUGCCAGCACGUAAUGGUGGGAACUCAAAGGAGACUGCCGGUGAUAAACCGGAGGAAGGUGGGGAUGACGUCAAGUCAUCAUGGCCCUUACGAGUAGGGCUACACACGUGCUACAAUGGCGCAUACAAAGAGAAGCGACCUCGCGAGAGCAAGCGGACCUCAUAAAGUGCGUCGUAGUCCGGAUUGGAGUCUGCAACUCGACUCCAUGAAGUCGGAAUCGCUAGUAAUCGUAAAUCAGAAUGUUACGGUGAAUACGUUCCCGGGCCUUGUACACACCGCCCGUCACACCAUGGGAGUGGGUUGCAAAAGAAGUAGAUAGCUUAACCUUCGGGAGGGCGUUUACCACUUUGUGAUUCAUGACUGGGGUGAAGUCGUAACAAGGUAACCGUAGGGGAACCUGCGGCUGGAUCACCUCCUU